GAGAGCCAAAUGAAUCGAAAGAUUCAUGUUUGGUUUGGGAAAGGAUCAUGGAAUUUUUGAAAUGGAUGGAAAGAUAAUCUACUUUCAU
Molecule: non-coding RNA, 88 nt
Organism: Helianthus annuus (common sunflower)
Lineage: Eukaryota; Viridiplantae; Streptophyta; Magnoliopsida; Asterales; Asteraceae
Source: Rfam